This 293-nucleotide ribosomal RNA is filed under the name uncultured bacterium. RNAcentral describes it as "partial 16S ribosomal RNA". It matches the Rfam family "Bacterial small subunit ribosomal RNA", at positions 510 to 793 of the family's 1533-position model. The record is from RNAcentral.
AGCAGCCGCGGUAAUACGGAGGGUGCGAGCGUUAAUCGGAAUUACUGGGCGUAAAGCGCAUGCAGGCGGCCGUGUUAAGUCAGAUGUGAAAGACCCGGGGCGUUAACCUCGGAAUUGCAUUUGAAACUAGGCAGGCUAGAGUCUUGUAGAGGGGGGUAGGAAUUUCUAGGUGUAGCGGUGAAAUAGCGUAGAGAUCUGAAGGAAUACCAGUGGCGAAGGCGGCCCCCUCGGACAAAGACUGACGCUCAGAUGCGAAAGCGUGGGGAGCAAACAGGAUUAGAUACCCCUGGUAG